UCCCCGGAGGACUAGUGGUUAGGCCACGGUGCUCUCACCACUGCAGCCCGGGUUCGAUUCCUGGCUAGGGAA
RNAcentral lists this transfer RNA (72 nucleotides) under Pangasianodon gigas (Mekong giant catfish). Its description in RNAcentral is "tRNA-Glu". It matches the Rfam family "tRNA". From Rfam's summary of the family: Transfer RNA (tRNA) molecules are approximately 80 nucleotides in length. Their secondary structure includes four short double-helical elements and three loops (D, anti-codon, and T loops). Further hydrogen bonds mediate the characteristic L-shaped molecular structure. tRNAs have two regions of fundamental functional importance: the anti-codon, which is responsible for specific mRNA codon recognition, and the 3' end, to which the tRNAs corresponding amino acid is attached (by aminoacyl-tRNA synthetases). tRNAs cope with the degeneracy of the genetic code in two manners: having more than one tRNA (with a specific anti-codon) for a particular amino acid; and 'wobble' base-pairing, i.e. permitting non-standard base-pairing at the 3rd anti-codon position. Lineage: Eukaryota; Metazoa; Chordata; Actinopteri; Siluriformes; Pangasiidae. The record is from RNAcentral.